GAUGAACGCUGGCGGCGUGCCUAAUACAUGCAAGUCGAACGAGUUCUCGUUGAUGAUCGGUGCUUGCACCGAGAUUCAACAUGGAACGAGUGGCGGACGGGUGAGUAACACGUGGGUAACCUGCCCUUAAGUGGGGGAUAACAUUUGGAAACAGAUGCUAAUACCGCAUAGAUCCAAGAACCGCAUGGUUCUUGGCUGAAAGAUGGCGUAAGCUAUCGCUUUUGGAUGGACCCGCGGCGUAUUAGCUAGUUGGUGAGGUAAUGGCUCACCAAGGCGAUGAUACGUAGCCGAACUGAGAGGUUGAUCGGCCACAUUGGGACUGAGACACGGCCCAAACUCCUACGGGAGGCAGCAGUAGGGAAUCUUCCACAAUGGACGCAAGUCUGAUGGAGCGACGCCGCGUGAGUGAAGAAGGCUUUCGGGUCGUAAAACUCUGUUGUUGGAGAAGAAGGUCGGCAGAGUAACUGU
This 468-nucleotide ribosomal RNA is filed under the name Lacticaseibacillus paracasei. RNAcentral's name for it is "bacterial SSU rRNA". It matches the Rfam family "Bacterial small subunit ribosomal RNA", at positions 28 to 468 of the family's 1533-position model. Lineage: Bacteria; Bacillati; Bacillota; Bacilli; Lactobacillales; Lactobacillaceae. The record is from RNAcentral.